GACGAACGCUGGCGGCGUGCCUAAUACAUGCAAGUAGAACGCUGAAGAGAGGAGCUUACUCUUCUUGGAUGAGUUGCGAACGGGUGAGUAACGCGUAGGUAACCUGCCUUGUAGCGGGGGAUAACUAUUGGAAACGAUAGCUAAUACCGCAUAACAAUGGCUGACACAUGUCAUUUAUUUGAAAGGGGCAGUUGCUCCACUACAAGAUGGACCUGCGUUGUAUUAGCUAGUAGGUGAGGUAAUGGCUCACCUAGGCGACGAUACAUAGCCGACCUGAGAGGGGGAUCCGCCACACUGGGACUGAGACACGGCCCAGACGCCUACGGGAGGCAGCAGGAGGGAAUCUUCGGCAAUGGGGGCAACCCUGACCGAGCAACGCCGCGUGAGUGAAGAAGGGUUUCGGAUCGUAAAGCUCUGUUGUAAGUCAAGAACGGGUGUGAGAGUGGAAAGUUCACACUGUGACGGUAGCUUACCAGAAAGGGACGGCUAACUACGUG
Molecule: ribosomal RNA, 497 nt
Filed under: uncultured bacterium
Lineage: Bacteria
Description: partial 16S ribosomal RNA
Rfam family: Bacterial small subunit ribosomal RNA
Source: RNAcentral